RNAcentral lists this ribosomal RNA (253 nucleotides) under uncultured bacterium. Its description in RNAcentral is "partial 16S ribosomal RNA". It matches the Rfam family "Bacterial small subunit ribosomal RNA", at positions 524 to 776 of the family's 1533-position model. The record is from RNAcentral.
UACGUAGGGGGCAAGCGUUGUCCGGAUUUAUUGGGCGUAAAGAGCGUGUAGGCGGCUUUACAGGUCCGUUGUGAAAACUCGAGGCUCAACCUCGAGACGCCGGUGGAAACCGUAAAGCUAGAGUCCGGAAGAGGAGAGUGGAAUUCCUGGUGUAGCGGUGAAACGCGCAGAUAUCAGGAAGAACACCCGUGGCGAAGGCAGCUCGCUGGGACGGUACUGACGCUGAGACGCGAAAGCGUGGGGAGCAAACAGG